GACGAACGCUGGCGGCGUGCUUAACACAUGCAAGUCGAACGGAAAGGCCCUGCUUUUGUGGGGUGCUCGAGUGGCGAACGGGUGAGUAACACGUGAGUAACCUGCCCUUGACUUUGGGAUAACUUCAGGAAACUGGGGCUAAUACCGGAUAGGAGCUCCUGCUGCAUGGUGGGGGUUGGAAAGUUUCGGCGGUUGGGGAUGGACUCGCGGCUUAUCAGCUUGUUGGUGGGGUAGUGGCUUACCAAGGCUUUGACGGGUAGCCGGCCUGAGAGGGUGACCGGCCACAUUGGGACUGAGAUACGGACCAGACUCCUACGGGAGGCAGCAGUGGGGAAUAUUGCACAAUGAGCGGAAGCCUGAUGCAGCAACGCCGCGUGCGGGAUGACGGCCUUCGGGUUGUAAACCGCUUUCGCCUGUGGCGAAGCGUGAGUGACGGUAAUGGGUAAAGAAGCACCGGCUAACUACGUG
This 468-nucleotide ribosomal RNA is filed under the name uncultured bacterium. RNAcentral describes it as "partial 16S ribosomal RNA". It matches the Rfam family "Bacterial small subunit ribosomal RNA", at positions 28 to 507 of the family's 1533-position model. The record is from RNAcentral.